CCCUUAGAUGUCCUGGGCCGCACGCGCGCUACACUGAUGCAUUCAACGAGCCUAUCCUUGACCGACAGGUCCGGGUAAUCUUUGAAUCUGCAUCGUGACGGGGAUAGAUUAUUGCAAUUAUUAAUCUUCAACGAGGAAUGCCUAGUAGGCGCAAGUCAUCAGCUUGCGUCGAUUACGUCCCUGCCCUUUGUACACACCGCCCGUCGCUCCUACCGAUUGGGUGUGCUGGUGAAAUGUUCGGAUCGGCCGUUUGUCGCGGUUUCCGCGUCAUGUGGCUGAGAAGUUCAUUAAACCCGCCCACCUAGAGGAAGGAGAAGUCGUAACA
RNAcentral lists this ribosomal RNA (325 nucleotides) under uncultured eukaryote. RNAcentral describes it as "partial 18S ribosomal RNA". It matches the Rfam family "Eukaryotic small subunit ribosomal RNA", at positions 1470 to 1796 of the family's 1831-position model. The record is from RNAcentral.